This 500-nucleotide ribosomal RNA is filed under the name Hansenula anomala. Its description in RNAcentral is "eukaryotic LSU rRNA". It matches the Rfam family "Eukaryotic large subunit ribosomal RNA", at positions 121 to 634 of the family's 3401-position model. The record is from RNAcentral. Lineage: Eukaryota; Fungi; Ascomycota; Saccharomycetes; Phaffomycetales; Wickerhamomycetaceae.
UCUAGCACCUUCGGUGUUCGAGUUGUAAUUUGAAGAUGGUAACCUUGGGUUUGGCUCUUGUCUAUGUUCCUUGGAACAGGACGUCAUAGAGGGUGAGAAUCCCGUCUGAUGAGAUGCCCAUUCCUAUGUAAGGUGCUAUCGAAGAGUCGAGUUGUUUGGGAAUGCAGCUCUAAGUGGGUGGUAAAUUCCAUCUAAAGCUAAAUAUUGGCGAGAGACCGAUAGCGAACAAGUACAGUGAUGGAAAGAUGAAAAGAACUUUGAAAAGAGAGUGAAAAAGUACGUGAAAUUGUUGAAAGGGAAGGGCAUUAGAUCAGACUUGGUGUUUUACGAUUAUCUUCUCUUCUUGAGUUGUGCACUCGUAUUUCACUGGGCCAGCAUCGAUUCGGAUGGCAAGAUAAUGGCAGUUGAAUGUGGCUUCACUUCGGUGGAGUGUUAUAGCUUCUGCUGAUAUUGCCUGUCUGGAUCGAGGGCUGCGUCUUUUGACUAGGAUGCUGGCGUAA